RNAcentral lists this ribosomal RNA (229 nucleotides) under uncultured bacterium. RNAcentral describes it as "partial 16S ribosomal RNA". It matches the Rfam family "Bacterial small subunit ribosomal RNA", at positions 568 to 796 of the family's 1533-position model. The record is from RNAcentral.
UGCGUAGGCGGUUUGAUUAGUCAGAGGUGAAAGUUUGCAGCUUAACUGUAAAAUUGCCUUUGAUACUGUCAGACUUGAAACAGGUUGAGGUUGGCGGAAUGUGGCAUGUAGCGGUGAAAUGCAUAGAUAUGCCAUAGAACACCAAUUGCGAAGGCAGCCAGCUGGGCCUUGUUUGACGCUGAGGCACGAAAGCGUGGGGAGCGAACAGGAUUAGAUACCCUGGUAGUCC